AUUUGCCCUGUUUGGCUCCAUCACAGACAGGAAUGUAUACAGCAUAAACCUUGUAUCUCACGAAUCUUCGUGUCCCAUGUUCUGAAACAUCGAUCGUGUAAAAAAUCAGUGUUUCUCUUGCCCUCAGCGAUUUAUAACGAUAAAAGUUGAGUGGUUUCAAGGGGAACCUAACUUAACGUGAUUAAUUUUUGGCAUUACGGCCACGUGUGUCGCUGCCCGUCGCUGCCCGUCGCUGCCCGUCGCUGCCCGUCGCUGCAUUCUCCUUUCUCCUUCCUCCUUCCUCCCGUUCCGACGCAUGUUUCUCCGUCUCUGCCUCGUGGAGAUAUCGAUGCCGAAAGCACGAUUUCUUAUUCGCGCCGAUCUGUCUCUAUUUUGUAUACUUGCCGAAUCUCUUGCCUCAACGCGCUUGUUUAGGACCAUGGAAUCUGCCUUUUUGUUAUUUUGGCCUGUUAAAGGGGAUUGAUUUGCGGAUUCUUGGUUGAUUCAUGUUUCUUAGACAAAUAUGCAGAUGUCGUCAUAAAAUACUUUCAUUCCGCAAACGUGGCUUUCGACAAAUUUUACGCGGUGCUUACAUUAAUACGAAACUCGCUAUGAUAAAAAACAAAACGUCGUAUCUAGAAUCACGAUAAGAACAACGAAACCUGACGCUGACCUUAAAAUUCAGGCGGCGCGGCGAAUGGAACUUGGAAAGAGGAUCAUCGUGAUUAUUUUAUUCUUUGUAUUUUCAUUGAUUCGUUAGAUAAUAUGUCAAGCCAGUCGUAUAAGAUCAAGAGAUUUCAGAAUAAAAUUAUAUGAAAAUUCACGUUUCGCAACAAGAAUAUGUAAUAUUUAUCAACUAUUUCCACAGACACUGUUGUCUUCACAAAAUAAUCACUUUUACGUAAAGGAUUAAUUAUCUUUAUCUCAGAUAUUUGAUCUAUAGAUAUACGUAUAAAAGAUAUACAUAUUCGUUCUAAUUACAAACUUUCAAGUACUCGAGCGAUGCACGAUAAGUCUCCGAUAUUUCGUUUCUUUCUACUUGCAGACUUUCACACAUGAUAUAAUUGACACAAAUAGCGUUGAAAAUAUAAACUUCAAACGUCAUUCGUCGCUUCUUGCUUUUUCAUAUAAUAACUAAUAACGUAGUUACUAGAAAAUAAAAUAUGUAUAUGGGUGGUGGAUUGUACAAAAGUGCGUAGUAUUAUUCGACAGUGAUAUAGUCCGUACACUUUUUCAUUUAAUUUAUGUAUUAUGUAACAGGCUUUAGAUAUGGAAGACGACAUGCUAAUAUUGCUAUAUACUUUGUAGCUACUACUAGACAAAUGAAUAGCUAUAUAAUAUAUGUAAUUUUAUCGGUAUUUUUUUAAAAACUAUCUCUACACGGGACUGACAUUUCAAUAAAAGUCACACGUAAUCGACUGUAUUUCAACUCUUUACCUGAAAAAGACAAAUUGUUGCUCACGCCAUUUAUCAGAAAGAAUUGGUUAAAAGACAAUUGGUUCUCUCAAGAAUUAUUUACAAAAUUUGAACAUCCAACAGCAUACAUCAAUAGUAAUUUGUAGUUAUUGAGAUUAUAAACGAACUGACUACCAUUUUUCGUAAUUGUCAGUUAAACUUAAGCGUGAAAACAAAAAUAAUUAAAUUUUAAAGAAAAGUAACAUUUAUUAAUCGUAAACGAACUAGCUAUGAAUGCUAAAUGCUGAAAAAUACUAAAUAAAAUAUAAAAUCAACUAUGAUUCCUGACAACUGUCGGCUAAACAUGAGAACAAAGAUCAUUGCGUGUUUGAAACUAACGAAUAUUUAUUCCUUGUAUAAACAAACUAGUGAUCAACCUCACGUUCUUUAUUGUAAACUU
Molecule: long non-coding RNA, 1834 nt
Organism: Bombus impatiens (common eastern bumble bee)
Lineage: Eukaryota; Metazoa; Arthropoda; Insecta; Hymenoptera; Apidae
Exons: 3
Source: RefSeq, a predicted model, not a curated record